Lolium rigidum is the source of this 896-nucleotide long non-coding RNA. RefSeq lists it as uncharacterized. Lineage: Eukaryota; Viridiplantae; Streptophyta; Magnoliopsida; Poales; Poaceae. The transcript has 4 exons. The record is from RefSeq and is a predicted model, not a curated record.
CGCGUACCGUCGGAGUCGGGCAUCGCCUCGUGUGGUGGCUACGGGCGGCGCUGGGUUUCCUCGGCGUCGUGGUGAGCAGGGGCAGCCCCGGCUGCCGUGGGCGUAGCACGCAGAGGUGGAUCCACUGACCGCACUCGGACUCCACCUGCUUACACCACAGAACGUUCUGCCCUGGCUACAACAACGAUCGAGGAAGAGCGGCGUUGCAACGUUUUAGAUUUACUACAGGCAAUUACUGCUUGGAUUGAUUUUUUGCUGAAUUUGUUCGGAGCAAAAAGCAUUCUGGCUGCAACAUGUACGGCGGCGACUGUGUGAGCGGCGGGCGGAUUCAUAGGCGAGCGGCUGGUGGGCUCUGCGCCCACCGUGUCCUCGGCAGAGCAUCGUGGUCAGCGGGUGGAAUAAGCGGCGCCGUGGUCGGCGGGUGGAAUCAGCGGCGCUGUGGUCGGCGGGCUAAACAGGUUGCGGUGUGGUCGCUGGUGGUAAUGCAACGUGGUGAGCCGCGUGUCGCAGGAGGCCGGUGGCUGCGGGCGGCAUUGGCAUCCAAGUGGCAUCGCCGCGUCAUGCAGAUUGCUCGCUUCUUCAGCAAAGGUGGCCGACGCCAAGUUUUUUCAACCAUCCGUGCAGCAGCUGUCGCUGGAGACAUUCUACUAUUAUUACAACAUUUGGAGGAUAUUUUGAACGUUGAUUGGAUGGGAAUAAAGUAACGAGACGUCGUGCAAUGGAAAUAAAGUCAUAAUAUAAUUCUUCACACAGAUUAGUGCGAUACCCAUUUUAUGGGCAACAUUGGUGCAAUGCCGUAUCUAUUUUACAUGCCUUUUGGUGCAUGCAAUGGAGUUCUUUACAUCAUGUAUUAGUGAACCUCACAACAUGUCAUAUAUUGGACCAUUUUCCUGUAA